Molecule: long non-coding RNA, 183 nt
Organism: Mastomys coucha (southern multimammate mouse)
Lineage: Eukaryota; Metazoa; Chordata; Mammalia; Rodentia; Muridae
Exons: 3
Source: RefSeq, a predicted model, not a curated record
GAUUUGGUCAUGUCAACUUGGUCAGGAACAUUACUCAGGACAUCUCAUCUUCUUACUGCACCUGACGCCCUCCUUGCUUACAGUUUGCUGCCAGAGAGGUGUGAAUCAACAUAUAUUUAACAGAAACCAAAAAAUGAGUUGUGAAGGAUAUUACUAACUCUCCAGAAUGUAUCUGGAAGUGGA